This 2621-nucleotide ribosomal RNA is filed under the name Salmonella enterica subsp. enterica serovar Saintpaul. RNAcentral's name for it is "partial 23S ribosomal RNA". It matches the Rfam family "Bacterial large subunit ribosomal RNA". The record is from RNAcentral. Lineage: Bacteria; Pseudomonadati; Pseudomonadota; Gammaproteobacteria; Enterobacterales; Enterobacteriaceae.
AAUCCAUAGGUUAAUGAGGCGAACCGGGGGAACUGAAACAUCUAAGUACCCCGAGGAAAAGAAAUCAACCGAGAUUCCCCCAGUAGCGGCGAGCGAACGGGGAGGAGCCCAGAGCCUGAAUCAGCAUGUGUGUUAGUGGAAGCGUCUGGAAAGGCGCGCGAUACAGGGUGACAGCCCCGUACACAAAAGCGCAUGUGCUGUGAGCUCGAUGAGUAGGGCGGGACACGUGGUAUCCUGUCUGAAUAUGGGGGGACCAUCCUCCAAGGCUAAAUACUCCUGACUGACCGAUAGUGAACCAGUACCGUGAGGGAAAGGCGAAAAGAACCCCGGCGAGGGGAGUGAAAAAGAACCUGAAACCGUGUACGUACAAGCAGUGGGAGCACAGGUUUACCUGUGUGACUGCGUACCUUUUGUAUAAUGGGUCAGCGACUUAUAUUCUGUAGCAAGGUUAACCGUAUAGGGGAGCCGGAGGGAAACCGAGUCUUAAUUGGGCGUUAAGUUGCAGGGUAUAGACCCGAAACCCGGUGAUCUAGCCAUGGGCAGGUUGAAGGUUGGGUAACACUAACUGGAGGACCGAACCGACUAAUGUUGAAAAAUUAGCGGAUGACCUGUGGCUGGGGGUGAAAGGCCAAUCAAACCGGGAGAUAGCUGGUUCUCCCCGAAAGCUAUUUAGGUAGCGCCUCGUGAAUUCAUCUCCGGGGGUAGAGCACUGUUUCGGCUAGGGGGCCAUCCCGGCUUACCAACCCGAUGCAAACUGCGAAUACCGGAGAAUGUUAUCACGGGAGACACACGGCGGGUGCUAACGUCCGUCGUGAAGAGGGAAACAACCCAGACCGCCAGCUAAGGUCCCAAAGUCAUGGUUAAGUGGGAAACGAUGUGGGAAGGCCCAGACAGCCAGGAUGUUGGCUUAGAAGCAGCCAUCAUUUAAAGAAAGCGUAAUAGCUCACUGGUCGAGUCGGCCUGCGCGGAAGAUGUAACGGGGCUAAACCAUGCACCGAAGCUGCGGCAGCGACGCUUAUGCGUUGUUGGGUAGGGGAGCGUUCUGUAAGCCUGUGAAGGUGGCCUGUGAGGGUUGCUGGAGGUAUCAGAAGUGCGAAUGCUGACAUAAGUAACGAUAAAGCGGGUGAAAAGCCCGCUCGCCGGAAGACCAAGGGUUCCUGUCCAACGUUAAUCGGGGCAGGGUGAGUCGACCCCUAAGGCGAGGCCGAAAGGCGUAGUCGAUGGGAAACGGGUUAAUAUUCCCGUACUUGGUGUUACUGCGAAGGGGGGACGGAGAAGGCUAUGUUGGCCGGGCGACGGUUGUCCCGGUUUAAGCGUGUAGGUGUGUGUUCCAGGUAAAUCCGGUUCACUUUAACACUGAGGCGUGACGACGAGGCACUACGGUGCUGAAGCAACAAAUGCCCUGCUUCCAGGAAAAGCCUCUAAGCAUCAGGUAACAUCAAAUCGUACCCCAAACCGACACAGGUGGUCAGGUAGAGAAUACCAAGGCGCUUGAGAGAACUCGGGUGAAGGAACUAGGCAAAAUGGUGCCGUAACUUCGGGAGAAGGCACGCUGAUAUGUAGGUGAAGUGAUUUACUCAUGGAGCUGAAAUCAGUCGAAGAUACCAGCUGGCUGCAACUGUUUAUUAAAAACACAGCACUGUGCAAACACGAAAGUGGACGUAUACGGUGUGACGCCUGCCCGGUGCCGGAAGGUUAAUUGAUGGGGUCAGCGCAAGCGAAGCUCCUGAUCGAAGCCCCGGUAAACGGCGGCCGUAACUAUAACGGUCCUAAGGUAGCGAAAUUCCUUGUCGGGUAAGUUCCGACCUGCACGAAUGGCGUAAUGAUGGCCAGGCUGUCUCCACCCGAGACUCAGUGAAAUUGAACUCGCUGUGAAGAUGCAGUGUACCCGCGGCAAGACGGAAAGACCCCGUGAACCUUUACUAUAGCUUGACACUGAACAUUGAGCCUUGAUGUGUAGGAUAGGUGGGAGGCUUUGAAGUGUGGACGCCAGUCUGCAUGGAGCCGACCUUGAAAUACCACCCUUUAAUGUUUGAUGUUCUAACGUGGACCCGUGAUCCGGGUUGCGGACAGUGUCUGGUGGGUAGUUUGACUGGGGCGGUCUCCUCCUAAAGAGUAACGGAGGAGCACGAAGGUUGGCUAAUCCUGGUCGGACAUCAGGAGGUUAGUGCAAUGGCAUAAGCCAGCUUGACUGCGAGCGUGACGGCGCGAGCAGGUGCGAAAGCAGGUCAUAGUGAUCCGGUGGUUCUGAAUGGAAGGGCCAUCGCUCAACGGAUAAAAGGUACUCCGGGGAUAACAGGCUGAUACCGCCCAAGAGUUCAUAUCGACGGCGGUGUUUGGCACCUCGAUGUCGGCUCAUCACAUCCUGGGGCUGAAGUAGGUCCCAAGGGUAUGGCUGUUCGCCAUUUAAAGUGGUACGCGAGCUGGGUUUAGAACGUCGUGAGACAGUUCGGUCCCUAUCUGCCGUGGGCGCUGGAGAACUGAGGGGGGCUGCUCCUAGUACGAGAGGACCGGAGUGGACGCAUCACUGGUGUUCGGGUUGUCAUGCCAAUGGCACUGCCCGGUAGCUAAAUGCGGAAGAGAUAAGUGCUGAAAGCAUCUAAGCACGAAACUUGCCCCGA